GGUCGCUUAGCUCAGUUGGUCGAGAGCGUCCGUUUCACACGCGGAAGGUCGGUGGUUCGAAUCCACCAGCGACCACGA
This 78-nucleotide transfer RNA is filed under the name Chlorobiota bacterium. RNAcentral describes it as "Chlorobi bacterium (hot springs metagenome) tRNA-Val". It matches the Rfam family "tRNA". Rfam says of the family: Transfer RNA (tRNA) molecules are approximately 80 nucleotides in length. Their secondary structure includes four short double-helical elements and three loops (D, anti-codon, and T loops). The record is from RNAcentral. Lineage: Bacteria; Pseudomonadati; Chlorobiota.